Non-coding RNA from Vicugna pacos (alpaca), 1416 nucleotides. The record is from RefSeq and is a predicted model, not a curated record. NCBI's taxonomy places the organism in Eukaryota, Metazoa, Chordata, Mammalia, Artiodactyla, Camelidae.
CUUUAAAAAUUGUUUUUGUAGGAUGGCAGGAAAUGGAACCAUUGCUUUCUCUGCAAAAAGUGUGUGAAGCCUUCUUGGAUCCACUGUAACGUUUGCAAUCACUGUGCUCUUCCAGAUCAUUCUUGCGGAGGUCCUAAAGACGGCUGCUUUAUUUGUGGUGAAUUAGAUCAUAAACGUAGUACUUGUCCUAACAUCUCUACAUCUAAGAAAGCUGACAAAGCUGUCAGAAAGCAGAAGCAAAGAAAAAGCAAUAAGAUGAAAAUGGAGACCACUAAAGGACAGUCCAUGAAUCAUACAUCUGUUACAAGGAGGAAGAAAAGGAGAGAAAGAGCCCAUCAAUAUCUUUGCUCUUAAAUGUCCAGUGACUUGAGAAUAAGAAAGAUUUACAGUCCAACCUUUGAUGCCAUUUUCUGAAAGUGCCACGCCGGACUUAAAUUCUGUAGCUUUCAAAGGUAUGCACCUUUCUAAGCUUGAGAACAGGCAAGUGGCAUUUGCUGGUUUAUAGACCCCCCCAGCAGCCCCUCGGGAGACCUGGGGACCUGUUCCAUCCUUAGCUAGUUUACUAGCUCUCUCUGCUUUUCUUCUCUUUAAAUCUCUUCCAGUUGUAUUGUUUUAGCCUCUUUUAUAUGAAGAAUGGGCAUAGAAUAUUCUUUUGCAGAAAGAAAGAAGAAAAUGAAGAUGAAAACCUAAAGCUUUGUUUAUAUUGAACAGAGGAGUAGGUUAAGUUAGAUAUUUUAAAUUAAAUAUUAAAAUACUGUAAAAUAGCUUAAGCCCCACUUGUAAAGAGAAAUAUAAUUUUUUAGACAGAAUCUGAAGAUGAUGGAAAGAAUUUUGACAAAGGAGUCUAAAGAUAUAAAGAUUAUGAUUAUAUUAUUAUUAAAUAUUUAUUUUUCAAAUACUUUUUGCAGUUGUCCUUUGAUGGUAUAGAAUCACCUAAAUGUUUGUUGAAUGACUGAGGUGUUUAGAAUUAUGACCUGCUCUGACAUCUCAGUGUCUUUUAAGCUAGGCAGUGCUUUUCUCUCUUUGUAAAAGUGGUAGCAGGAGGCAGGAUACUUUGGUGAUUGGGACUCUUCACUCUAAUUUUCACACUUCCUGGUUGUAUGUCCUUGGCCAGGUCAUUCACUCUCUAGAAGCCCCUAACUCUUCAUUAUUAUAAUGGGGACAAUAAUAUUCACACUUGGGUUUGUUUUGUGGUUAAAUUAAAUGGGGUGCAUGUGUCUGGCUCUCAGUUCUCCUGUUACUGGUGAGAAGUGAAUCAGAUGUCCACGGAGCACUGGUGUUAAUCACCGGUCCCUGGGUGGUCCAGGAUCAUGGUGCUGAAGGGAGUAGUUUGGACAAACAGCUCAUCUCCCCAUUUCUCUGCUAGGUAUCUGACAUUAUCUGCUUAAGCUUGAAUAAAGUCUUGAAUGGCUUGCA